UACGUAGGGUGCAAGCGUUAAUCGGAAUUACUGGGCGUAAAGCGUGCGCAGGCGGUUGUGCAAGACAGAUGUGAAAUCCCCGGGCUUAACCUGGGAAUGGCAUUUGUGACUGCACGGCUAGAGUGUGUCAGAGGGGGGUAGAAUUCCACGUAUAGCAGUGAAAUGCAUAGAUAUGUGGAGGAAUACCGAUGGCGAAGGCAGCCCCCUGGGAUAACACUGACGCUCAUGCACGAAAGCGUGGGGAGCAAACAGG
Molecule: ribosomal RNA, 253 nt
Filed under: uncultured bacterium
Lineage: Bacteria
Description: partial 16S ribosomal RNA
Rfam family: Bacterial small subunit ribosomal RNA
Source: RNAcentral